AUUGAACGCUGGCGGCAUGCCUUACACAUGCAAGUCGAACGGUAACAGGUCUUCGGAUGCUGACGAGUGGCGAACGGGUGAGUAAUACAUCGGAACGUGCCUAGUAGUGGGGGAUAACUACUCGAAAGAGUGGCUAAUACCACAUGAGAUCUACGGAUGAAAGCAGGGGAUCGCAAGACCUUGUGCUACUAGCGCGGCCGAUGGCAGAUUAGGUAGUUGGUGGGAUAAAAGCUUACCAAGCCGACGAUCUGUAGCUGGUCUGAGAGGACGAUCAGCCACACUGGGACUGAGACACGGCCCAGACUCCUACGGGAGGCAGCAGUGGGGAAUUUUGGGCAAUGGGCGAAAGCCUGAUCCAGCAAUGCCGCGUGCAGGAUGAAGGCCUUCGGGUUGUAAACUGCUUUUGUACGGAACGAAAAGCCCCGGGUUAAUACCCUGGGGUCAUGACGGUACCGUAAGAAUAAGCACCGGCUAACUACGUGCCAGCAGCCGCGGUAA
Molecule: ribosomal RNA, 498 nt
Filed under: uncultured bacterium
Lineage: Bacteria
Description: partial 16S ribosomal RNA
Rfam family: Bacterial small subunit ribosomal RNA
Source: RNAcentral